This 466-nucleotide ribosomal RNA is filed under the name uncultured bacterium. RNAcentral describes it as "partial 16S ribosomal RNA". It matches the Rfam family "Bacterial small subunit ribosomal RNA", at positions 28 to 507 of the family's 1533-position model. The record is from RNAcentral.
GAUGAACGCUGGCGGCGUGCUUAACACAUGCAAGUCGAACGAUGAAGCCCAGCUUGCUGGGUGGAUUAGUGGCGAACGGGCGAGUAACACGUGAGUAGCCUGCCCUUAACUCUGGGAUAAGCCUGGGAAACUGGGUGUAAUACCUAACAGGUGCGUUCACCGCCUGGAGGGUGUUGUAAAGAUUUAUCGGUUUUGGCUGGACUCUCGGCCUAUCCGCGUGUUGGUGAAGAAAUGGCACACCAAGGCGAUGCCGGGUAGCCGACCCGAGAGGGUGGCCGGCGACCAGAGGCCUGCGACACGGCGCAGACUCCUACGGGAGGCAGCGGUGGGGAACAUUGCACAGUGGGCGCAAGCCUGAUGCAGCGGUCCCGCGUGCGGGAUGCCCUCCUUCGAGUUGUAAACCUCUUUCAGUAGGAAAGAAGCGAAAGUGACGGUACCUGCAGAAGAAGCCCCGGCUAACUACGUG